CAGAGUCGUGAAUAAGAUAAUUUGAGUCUGACUUAUGGAGGGGAAAGUUAUUCUUCUUUACUUUAUGGUGCUCCUGCAGCUAGGAAACUCCAUUGAUGAUCAUUGUGAGAUGCGAACUAUUCUUUCAAGUCCUAAGUGCACUGAAUCAACUUGCCAGACAGCCUGCCAAAAAAUUUGGGGACCUGACGUCAAGAGAGCAGAGUGUAGGGUCGUCAACCAUCACAAGUUUUGUGAUUGCAUCAUAUGUUACUAGAGUUGCACCAAACCAUCAUGUCAAACAGUGGAAAAUGUUAUGAUCUAGUAAUAAAAUCCUCUUGUGACA
Molecule: long non-coding RNA, 322 nt
Organism: Hordeum vulgare subsp. vulgare (domesticated barley)
Lineage: Eukaryota; Viridiplantae; Streptophyta; Magnoliopsida; Poales; Poaceae
Exons: 2
Source: RefSeq, a predicted model, not a curated record